CCAAUAGCGUAUAUUAAAGUUGUUGCAGUUAAAAAGCUCGUAGUUGAAUUUCGGGGUUAGUAGGUUGGUCAUGCCUCUGGUAUGUACUGGUCUCACUGAUUCCUCCUUCCUGAUGAACCGUAAUGCCAUUAAUUUGGUGUUGCGGGGAAUUUGGACUGUUACUUUGAAAAAAUUAGAGUGUUUAAAGCAAGCUAACGCUUGAAUACAUUAGCAUGGAAUAAUGAAAUAGGACGUUCGAUCCUAUUUUGUUGGUUUCUAGGAUUGACGUAAUGAUGAAUAGGGAUAGUUGGGGGCAUUAGUAUUCAAUUGUCAGAGGUGAAAUUCUUGGAUUUAUUGAAGACUAACUACUGCGAAAGCAUUUGCCAAGGAUGUUCUCAUUAAUCAAGAACGAAAGUUAGGGGAUCGAAGACGAUCAGAUACCGUCGUAGUCUUAACCAUAAACUAUGCCGACUAGGGAUCGGAUGAUGUUAAUUUUUUAAUGACUCAUUCGGCGCCUUAC
Molecule: ribosomal RNA, 499 nt
Filed under: uncultured Glomeromycotina
Lineage: Eukaryota; Fungi; Glomeromycota
Description: partial small subunit ribosomal RNA
Rfam family: Eukaryotic small subunit ribosomal RNA
Source: RNAcentral